UUGGGAAACAUUGUGGCUUGCCCAAUGCUCAGACCUAACUUGCUUCUUUACUUCCCCAGAA
This 61-nucleotide microRNA precursor is filed under the name Mus pahari (shrew mouse). Its description in RNAcentral is "microRNA 7231 (MGP_PahariEiJ_G0007164.1)". The record is from RNAcentral. Lineage: Eukaryota; Metazoa; Chordata; Mammalia; Rodentia; Muridae.